UACGUAGAGGGCAAGCGUUGUCCGGAUUCAUUGGGCGUAAAGAGCUCGUAGGCGGCUUGGCAAGUCGGGUGUGAAAACUCCAGGCUCAACCUGGAGACGCCACCCGAUACUGCCAUGGCUUGAGUCCGGUAGGGGACCACGGAAUUCCUGGUGUAGCGGUGAAAUGCGCAGAUAUCAGGAGGAACACCGGUGGCGAAGGCGGUGGUCUGGGCCGGUACUGACGCUGAGGAGCGAAAGCGUGGGGAGCGAACAGG
This 254-nucleotide ribosomal RNA is filed under the name uncultured bacterium. RNAcentral describes it as "partial 16S ribosomal RNA". It matches the Rfam family "Bacterial small subunit ribosomal RNA", at positions 524 to 776 of the family's 1533-position model. The record is from RNAcentral.